This 440-nucleotide ribosomal RNA is filed under the name uncultured Hirschia sp. RNAcentral describes it as "bacterial SSU rRNA". It matches the Rfam family "Bacterial small subunit ribosomal RNA", at positions 338 to 795 of the family's 1533-position model. Lineage: Bacteria; Pseudomonadati; Pseudomonadota; Alphaproteobacteria; Hyphomonadales; Hyphomonadaceae. The record is from RNAcentral.
CCUACGGGCGGCUGCAGUGGGGAAUCUUGGACAAUGGGCGCAAGCCUGAUCCAGCCAUGCCGCGUGAGUGAAGAAGGCCUUAGGGUUGUAAAACUCUUUCGCCGGUGAAGAUAAUGACGGUAACCGGAGAAGAAGCCCCGGCUAACUUCGUGCCAGCAGCCGCGGUAAUACGAAGGGGGCUAGCGUUGUUCGGAAUUACUGGGCGUAAAGCGCACGUAGGCGGGUUUGUAAGUAGGGGGUGAAAUCCCAGGGCUCAACCCUGGAACUGCCUUCUAAACUGCAAGCCUGGAGGUCAGGAGAGGCGAGUGGAAUACCGAGUGUAGAGGUGAAAUUCGUAGAUAUUCGGUGGAACACCAGUGGCGAAGGCGACUCGCUGGACUGAUACUGACGCUGAGGUGCGAAAGCGUGGGGAGCAAACAGGAUUAGAUACCCCGGUAGUC